GACGAACCGUGCGAACGUUAUUCGGAAUCAUUGGGCUUAAAGAGCACGUAGGCGGCGCCGUAAGUCGGAGGUGAAAUCCCAGGGCUCAACCGUGGAACCGCCUCCGAAACUGUGGUGCUUGAGGGAGAUAGGGGCCUGUGGAACUUCCGGUGGAACGGUGAAAUGUGUUGAGAUCGGAAGGAACGCCAGUGGCGAAAGCGACAGGCUGGAUCUUCUCUGACGCUGAGGUGCGAAAGCUAGGGUAGCGAACGGG
Molecule: unclassified non-coding RNA, 253 nt
Filed under: uncultured Planctomycetia bacterium
Lineage: Bacteria; Pseudomonadati; Planctomycetota; Planctomycetia
Description: contains 16S-23S intergenic spacer region
Rfam family: Bacterial small subunit ribosomal RNA
Source: RNAcentral